GGUUUCCGGAAUAUGGCGGGGCGUUUGGCGCUUGCUGCAGCCAGAGCUCCAGGUGUCGUUUUCAUUUCUGUGUCCUCUUCCUAGAGGCCCAGCCUGUGUGGCCGUGUGACCUGCAGAUAUUGGGAGAUCCACAGCUAAGACUCCAGGACGCCCUGGAAGCCUAGAAAUGUGACUGUGCAUGACCUGUAGCCGUGUCUGGGGAGCUCUGCACGCGCAAUUCUGCAGUCUCUCCCAGAUUGUGCAAGAACCAUGGGAGGGGCGUCAGAUGGAGUCUUGCUCUGUCACCCAGGCUGGAGUGCAUGGCACCAUCUCGUCUCACUGCAACUUCCAUCUCCCGGGUUCAAGUGGUUCUCCUGCCUCAGCCUCAUGAGUAGCUGGGACUACAGACGUGCGCCACCACGCCUGGCUAAUUUUUUUUUUUUGUAUUUUUAGUAAAGACAGUGUUUCACUGUGUUAGCCAGGAUAGUCUCGAUCUCCUGACAUCGUGAUCUGCCCGCCUCAGCUUCCCAAAGUGCUGGGACUACAGGCAUGAGCCAUCAUGCCCAGCCCUGAAUUAUAUCUUUAUCAAGUUGUGGUCUAAGUGAGCAUUUGGUAUGAUUUUGGGAUUAUUGAAUUUGCUGAGGAGUGUUGUGUUUCUGAUUGCGUGGUCAAUUUUAGAAUAUGUGACACAUGG
This 673-nucleotide small RNA is filed under the name Pongo abelii (Sumatran orangutan). RNAcentral's name for it is "processed transcript". The record is from RNAcentral. Lineage: Eukaryota; Metazoa; Chordata; Mammalia; Primates; Hominidae.